RNAcentral lists this ribosomal RNA (315 nucleotides) under Kocuria sp. R. RNAcentral's name for it is "bacterial SSU rRNA". It matches the Rfam family "Bacterial small subunit ribosomal RNA", at positions 54 to 354 of the family's 1533-position model. Lineage: Bacteria; Bacillati; Actinomycetota; Actinomycetes; Micrococcales; Micrococcaceae. The record is from RNAcentral.
ANGGNCGGCUUANCAUGCAGUCGAACGAUGAUCUCCCGCUUGCGGGGGUGAUUAGUGGCGAACGGGUGAGUAAUACGUGAGUAACCUGCCCUUGACUCUGGGAUAAGCCUGGGAAACCGGGUCUAAUACUGGAUACUACCUUUCACCGCAUGGUGGGGGGUGGAAAGGGUUUGACUGGUUUUGGAUGGGCUCACGGCCUAUCAGCUUGUUGGUGGGGUAAUGGCUCACCAAGGCGACGACGGGUAGCCGGCCUGAGAGGGUGACCGGCCACACUGGGACUGAGACACGGCCCAGACUCCUACGGGAGGCAGCAGA